RNAcentral lists this ribosomal RNA (630 nucleotides) under Aspergillus sp. AQGSS 17. RNAcentral's name for it is "eukaryotic LSU rRNA". The stretch from base 340 to 493 matches the Rfam family "5.8S ribosomal RNA". The record is from RNAcentral. Lineage: Eukaryota; Fungi; Ascomycota; Eurotiomycetes; Eurotiales; Aspergillaceae.
GAUUCAUACAGCUUGAAAACGUUUGUUGGUCUCGGGGGGGCCGGGCAAAGCCCCCUGCGCCAGCUGGUGGGGCCGCGAAGCAACAUGUACGUGUCACGGGGGGUGGCCAGAGGACCAUCACUCGUAAGCUCCUUUCGGGAACCUCAGAAGGGUGAUUACCGAGUCAGGGUCCUCACGCCGAACCUCCCACCCGAACUAAUGUACCUUCUGUAUUUGAACGUGCGGCCAGCUCAUUAGGGUGCCGGAGUACUUCUGCCCCCGGGCCCGCGCCCGCCGGAGACCCCAACACGAACACUGUUUCCGAAAGCCUGUAUGAAUAAGAUUCUUAGUAAUCAGUUAACUUCUCAACAAUGGAUCUCUUGGUUCCGGCAUAGAAGAAGAACGCAGCGAAAUGCGAUAACUAAUGAGAAUUGCAGAAUUCAGUGAAUCAUAGUGUUUAAGAACGCACACUGCGCCCCUUGGUAUUCUGGGGGGCAUGCAGAACGCAGCGUCAUUACUGCCCUCAAGCCAAGCUUGUAUGGGGUCCUUGUCCCCCCGGGGACGGGCCGGAAAGGCAGCGUGGCACCGAGUCCGGUCGUCGAGCGUAUGGGGUUUGUCACCCGCUCAGUAGGCCCGGCCGGCGCCAGCCCA